CUCGCAUUGAUUACGUCCCUGCCCUUUGUGCACACCGCCCGUCGCUACUACCGAUUGAAUUAUUUAGUGAGGUCUCCGGACGUGAUCACUGUGACGCCUUGCGUGUUACGAUUGUUUCCCAAAAGUUGACCGAACUUGAUUAUUUAGAGGAAGUAAAAGUCGUAACAAGGUUUCCGUAGGUGAACCUGCGGAAGGAUCAUUA
Ribosomal RNA from Drosophila willistoni, 202 nucleotides. It matches the Rfam family "Eukaryotic small subunit ribosomal RNA", at positions 1635 to 1831 of the family's 1831-position model. NCBI's taxonomy places the organism in Eukaryota, Metazoa, Arthropoda, Insecta, Diptera, Drosophilidae. The record is from Rfam.